UAUAAAGUUUUUAAAGGCGGAUUGAAUUCCACUUUAUAACUUUAUGAACCUUAUAACUUUUAACUUUUGUAACUUGCGCGCUGUGCGCGGUUGGGGUAAUAAGGGAGAAACUCCAUAUCACUAACUUAUACGGACGGCACACGGACUCCGCGGAAUUUUUCCGUUAAGUCCGCGUUAUGUCUGUGUAAGUCUGUGUGGUGGGAGAAGUUACAAAAUCGUUUGUUAGCCGAAAUUUUCUGGAAAGUGAUGCCAAAGAGGGUGAAAGCCCCGUAGGCGAAAACGAACGACCUUCUUAGUUUCUUUUCUUCAGUACUUCGAGGCCAGAACACUUCGAAGGAAUUCGCGAGUACUAUCUCGCAAGGCUAAAUACUUUUGAUGAUCGAUAGUGAACAAGUACCGUGAGGGAAAGGUGAAAAGCAGGCCGGUGAGGCCGUUGAAAUAGAACCUGAAACCAUUCGCCUACAAGGAACUGAAGCGCUCCCGCUGUUGCUCAGCGUUCGCGCAAAUUCGAAAUUUCAAGCACUAAAUUCCAAACAAAUUAUAAGUUUUAAUGUUUUAAACAUUUGAAAUUUUUGUAUUGUGAUUUGUUUAUGAUUUGGAAAUUUGGAUUUUGAAUUUGGAGCGCUGAGCAGCAGCGAAGCGUGACAGUGUGCCUAUUGAAGAAUGAUCCAACGACUUAUGGUGCAUUGCUUGUGUAAGCCCCAAAGGGGUGUACGCACAGGGAAACCGAGUCUUAAUAGGGCGUAUCGUGCCUCACUUUUGUGAGGCACCGCGGAUUCCCGCAGAUAUGACGCAGAUGAACGCGGAUAACCAAAAACUAUCUGCGUAAAUCAGCGUAGAAAUCUGCGUUUAUCAGCGUGUGACUCGCGAGAGCGAGGCACGAAUGCAGUGCAUUAUAGACCCGAAGCCAGAUGAGCUUGCCUUGGCCAGGAUGAAUCCCGCAGAAAUGCGGGAGGAGGUCCGAACCGGUUGAUUGUUCAAAAUCUUCGGAUGAGCUGAGGUAAGGAGUGAAAAGCUAAUCGAAUUUGGUAAUAGCUGGUUCUCUCCGAAAUAGUUUUAGGACUAGCGCCGUGUUGUAGCAGAUGGGGGUAGAGCUACUGGAUGAGCGGUAAAGGGCGAAAGCUCAGCCGCUCAAUCAAACUCCGAAUACCGUCUGUGGAAUCACGGCAGUUAGACUGCGGGGGCUAAGCUCCGUGGUCAAAAGGGAAACAGCCCAAAUCAUCAUCUAAGGCCCCUAAAUGUAUGCUAAGUGUAGAAGGUAGUCUCGCGCCGUAAACAGAUAGGAGGUUGGCUUAGAGGUAGCCAUCCUUUAAAGAGUGUGUAACAACUCACUAUUCGAUGGCGAGUGGCGCCGAAAAUGUAUCGGGGCUAAGCAUACUGCCGAAGAUAUGAAUCAAUCUUGUCGGAGACAAGAUCGCGGAUAUGCGCGGAUAUAAAAAUACACGCAGAUUCUCGCGGAUGGAAUUCCAUCAGCGUAAUCAGCGAGUAGAUCAGCACAAAUCAGCGUNNNNNNNNNNNNNNNNNNNNNNNNNNNNNNNNNNNNNNNNNNNNNNNNNNNNNNNNNNNNNNNNNNNNNNNNNNNNNNNNNNNAGAGAGAAUGUUGGAAUGAGUAACCACAAUCCUAAUGAGAAAUUGGGACCCCGAAAAUCCAAGGUUUCCGUGGCACUGGCAAUCAACCACGGGUUAGUCGGCCCUAAGUCAAUGGUGAAAACCGCAGACGAUGGACAGACGGUUAAUAUUCCGUCACUUCCGUGUUUUUCGAUGGAGGGACGAGGUUCAGUAGAUGGAGCGCCUUAUUGGUUUGGCGUCCUUGCGCGAGGUUGUGCUUUUGGUAAAUCCGGAGCGCUGCGUUCAAUCGCGAAUCCCAGCAAAAAGGCAAUUGUCGGUUUUACCGGCGAACGUUCAUCGAGCGAGUCUUCAAGAAAAACUUCUAAGGUUAAAGACACGGAAUCCGUACCGUAAACCGACACAGGUGGAUAGGGCGAGAAGCCCAAGGGGAACGAGUGAUUCGCCGUCAAGGAACUAGGCAAAAAAGCGGCCGUAAGUUAGCGAUAAGGCCUCCCAUUCUUGUCUACGACAAGAAUCGCGGACUAACGCAGAACAAACGCAGACUAACGCAGAAAAUUUCCGCGUAUGUCAGCGUGAAGUCAGCGUAAGUCGGCGUUCUCGCCGUAGGCGAGAGUGGGCGCAGCGAAAGUCUUCCUGGCGACUGUUUACCAAAAACACAGCUCCCUGCUAACUCGCAAGAGGAUGUAUAGGGGGUGACACCUGACCGAUGCGAGAAGGUCAAUCUUGCCGGUCGCGGGGCGACUCGGCACGCAGAUUUUCGCGGAUAAUCAGCGCUUCGCGCUUCGCAGAUUUACGCAGAUACGUAUCAGCGUAUAUCAGCGUAGCGAACGAAGUGAGCUGAAGAAUCCGCGUUCAUCAGCGUGCGAAGUCGCCUCGCGGCUGAGCGAGCUAAGCCCUCGUCAAUGUCAGCGAUAACUAUGAAAAGAUUGUAGUUAUAAAAUUUGGCUAUAUGCUGGAAUAACCGUGCAUCCGGCGCUACUUGAAAAAGUUACAAUGCGUCCGGUGCGGUCAAUCAGCAGGAAAGAUUUUGGUAGUAGUGGUAUAAUCGGGACAAUGAAGCCGCAUUGGCUUAUGAAAAUCCCAGAAAAUAUCGGAUGGUAUAUUUCAGGUUUUGCGGAUGGAGAGGGUAGUUUUAAUGUUUCCUUUCGCAAAGGCAACGGCCAUCGUUUAGGGUGGCAAGUUCAACUUACCUUUAAUAUUUCUCAGCGUGAUAUUACUAAUUUGGAAAUCAUAAAAGAUACAAUGGGAUGCGGACGAUUACAGCAUCGCCGCGAUGGGGUUCACUACUUCGUCGUUGGCGAUAAUCGUUCAAUACUUGAUCGUGUUAUACCAUUUUUCGAUAAGUUUUCUUUCUUUUCUUAUUCAAAAAAGAAAAACUUCUCGUUAUUCAGGAAAAUUGCAUUUCUUGUGAAACAGAGAAAACAUCUUACCCCGGCUGGAUUGCAUCAAAUUGUUGCAAUCCGCGAAAGGUUGAAUGAAGGGAGAGGCAGAAAACGAAAAUACAACAAAGAAAACAUCGAAAUAAUUACCAAAAAAUCCUCAGAGACUACACGCCAAACUUCGACACAAGGUCGGAGAUGAUAUAGUCCGAACUGCAUGGCGACAUGCAGAGUUGUCUUGAGUAAUCGAGACAGAAUAACACAUGAAUCGUUCUAAGGUAGCGCAAUUCCUUUUCGGGUAAGUUCCGAAGCGCACGAAAGGUGUAACGACUGGGAAACUGUCUCGACGGCGAGCUCGGUGAAAAUGCGAUUCCCGUGAAGACGCGGGAUACCUGCAGCGGGACGAAAAGACCCCGGAAGCUUUACUGCAGCUUGGUAUUGGCUUUAAGGUCUUAAUACGUAGCGUAGUGGGGAGCCUUUGAAGCUUCGAUUUCGGUCGGAGUGGAGGCGCCAAUGAAACACCCAUUUUUAAGAUUUUAAAUUCUAACCCCGACGGCAAAAACGUCGAGGGACAGUGCUUGGCAGGCAGUUUCAAUGGGGCGUUGUCCUCCUAAAGAGUAACGGAGGAGUCUAUUAAGGUCGGCUUAGUCCGGAUGGAAACCGGACUGGACGCGUAAAGGCAAAAGCCGGCUUAACUGCAAGACAUACAAGUCGCGCAGAUGCGAAAGCAGAGCUUAGUGACCCGACCAUCAUGCGUGCGUAGCACGCAGUUUAUAAAGUUCGUAAAGUAAAAAGUUUAUAAAGUUUUUAAAGGCGGAUUGAAUUCCACUUUAUAACUUUAUGAACCUUAUAACUUUCAACUUUUGUAA
Molecule: non-coding RNA, 3817 nt
Organism: Candidatus Liptonbacteria bacterium
Lineage: Bacteria; Candidatus Liptoniibacteriota
Source: Rfam